Molecule: ribosomal RNA, 946 nt
Rfam family: Microsporidia small subunit ribosomal RNA (bases 241-945)
UUACUUCAGAGUAGGCGAAUAUUGAAUACUUUAUUGAAAUAAGAUAAAUAAGUAAUCAGUUUACAUUUAAUUUAUAUCAAGCUUGGCUCUGACUUUUUAUAUGAUAAGAACUCUGAAAUACACAUGGUUUUUUUUGAAAGAAGCGAGGUGGAAGUUAUUUAAUCUUAUUUAGAAUAUCCUAGAUUUAUUUUUCUUCCAGGGUAUUAUAGCAUUAUAUAAUGUCUUGAAAAGUCCCGCUAACACCAGUGCUGAAGGUUAAAAAGGAGCGAAAGCUUGCUUUAGUCAAGUUUAAUUAGAUCUGGUUAACUUGGUGCCAGCAUCCGCGGUUAAACCAAGAUGAUCAAGUCAUAUAACUUCGGUGAAAAAACAGUUAAAUUAAAUUCAUGUUUAUAAAAUGUCUAUAGAAAAGUAAAAUUUGGUCAUAGACAAGAAAUCUAGCUUAAACUUAAAUAUUGAAGCUGUGAAAGCCUCGAGGGAAACUGGGAUUAGAUACCCCAUUAUUCUUGGAUGUAAACUGAUUUUUAUCUACCAGAGUACUAUGAAUUAAAUAUUUAAAACUUAAAGGGCUUGGCGGUGUUUUAGACCUCUCAGGGGAACCUGUCUCAUAAUCGACAAUCCACGCUAAACCUAACCCUUUUUUGUAUAUCAGCUUGUAUACCGUCGUCGUCAGGUAACUUUUUAGAAAAAAGAAGUUAGCAAAAAAAUAAAAUGGGUUUUCACGUCAGAUCAAGGUGCAGCUAAUAAAAGGGGGAGGAUGGGUUACAAUUAUAAAAUCGUAAUAACGGAAAGUUGUUUGGAACAAAAACAAGAAGGAGGACUUGAAAGUAAGAUAAAAUAUAUAAAUGUUCUGAAUAAGGCUCUGAAACGUGCACACAUCGCCCGUCGCUCUCGCUGAAAAGUGAGAUAAGUCGUAACAUAGCAGGGGUAAUGGAAAUUGUUCCUAAAC